Molecule: unclassified non-coding RNA, 397 nt
Filed under: fungal sp.
Lineage: Eukaryota; Fungi
Description: partial internal transcribed spacer region
Rfam family: Eukaryotic small subunit ribosomal RNA (bases 1-46)
Source: RNAcentral
AAGUCGUAACAAGGUUUCCGUAGGUGAACCUGCGGAAGGAUCAUUACAACGUAUCCACGUACAAACCAGUGAACUGUUCCCAACGGAAUGAGAUACAAAAGCAAUUUUGUAUUCGAGGUUGAUGGCAUGUGUGGUUCCUGCUGAUGGAGUUUCUGGGCUUUUGCCUCGAAACUAGGGCCUAACAUACCGCGAAAGCUUUUGGCUUUCGGACCUCAAGCUCUUCCGUUUGGUUGAUUACCGUCAGCUUGUAAAACCCUUUAUUAACCCUAUGUGUACCAUUUGAUCUGAUCUAUUCUGUCUGAAAACGCGUUCUUGUUGGCUUUAAGUCACGAACCGUCUCAGCAGGAGUUUGAUACGAAGCAAAGAACAACUCUUAACAACGGAUAUCUUGGUUCCC